RNAcentral lists this transfer RNA (70 nucleotides) under Perkinsus olseni. RNAcentral describes it as "tRNA-Arg". It matches the Rfam family "tRNA". Rfam says of the family: Transfer RNA (tRNA) molecules are approximately 80 nucleotides in length. The record is from RNAcentral. Lineage: Eukaryota; Perkinsozoa; Perkinsida; Perkinsidae.
CCGAUUAGUUCAGCUGGAUAGAAUGUCUGCCUACGGAGCAGAUGGUCGUAGGUUCGAAUCCUGCAUCGGG